Molecule: long non-coding RNA, 402 nt
Filed under: Rattus norvegicus (Norway rat)
Lineage: Eukaryota; Metazoa; Chordata; Mammalia; Rodentia; Muridae
Description: long non-coding RNA NONRATT028232
Source: RNAcentral
CUGUGAGGAACAAAAAUCAAAUUGUGUGAAUGCAAUGUGGAAACCUUUAUUUUGUUAUUCUUUUCUUAGUGGGUAUAUAUGUCACAAUGGAUACACACCAUUGAGCUUAGGGAUAUUGAAAGAAGCAACGCACCUCUCUCUCCCAGAAAAAAUUAGAAGAUGUCUAUUAGUCCCCACUUUGAGUAUACUUUGUAAAUGUGAUGCAAGUUUGCAAUUGGGAAUAGAUAUGCUCACACUGCAGAAAAUCUCUAUGGAUACUAGAAAUAUGGAAAUUCUUCUGAUUGUCCUGGUUCACUUUGCAAAUAUGGUAUGAUUCACACUACAGAAAAAUUUAUGAAUUCGUCCAGUGUGGUAAAUCUGAGUUCUAGCUUCAAAUAUGAGAAAAACUCUAUAUAGAAAAAG